UUGACAUACUAAGAACUUUCCAGAGAUGGAUUGGUGCCUUCGGGAACUUAGAUACAGGUGCUGCAUGGCUGUCGUCAGCUCGUGUCGUGAGAUGUUGGGUUAAGUCCCGCAACGAGCGCAACCCUUUUCCUUAUUUGCCAGCGGGUCAUGCCGGGAACUUUAAGGAUACUGCCAGUGACAAACUGGAGGAAGGCGGGGACGACGUCAAGUCAUCAUGGCCCUUACGGCCAGGGCUACACACGUGCUACAAUGGUCGGUACAAAGGGUUGCUACCUCGCGAGAGGAUGCUAAUCUCAAAAAGCCGAUCGUAGUCCGGAUCGCAGUCUGCAACUCGACUGCGUGAAGUCGGAAUCGCUAGUAAUCGCGGAUCAGAAUGCUGCGGUGAAUACGUUCCCGGGCCUUGUACACACCGCCCGUCACACCAUGGGAGUUUGUUGCACCAGAAGUAGGUAGUCUAACCGCAAGGAGGACGCUUACCACGGUGUGGCCGAUGACGUGGGGUGAAGUCGUAACAAGGUAGGCGUAGAUGA
RNAcentral lists this ribosomal RNA (530 nucleotides) under uncultured bacterium. Its description in RNAcentral is "bacterial SSU rRNA". It matches the Rfam family "Bacterial small subunit ribosomal RNA", at positions 981 to 1509 of the family's 1533-position model. The record is from RNAcentral.